This 311-nucleotide long non-coding RNA is filed under the name Mus spicilegus (steppe mouse). Its description in RNAcentral is "lncRNA (ENSMSIG00000020883.1)". Lineage: Eukaryota; Metazoa; Chordata; Mammalia; Rodentia; Muridae. The record is from RNAcentral.
UGUUCUGGUCACAAGAAAGUCCCACCAGAAGAAGCUUUGCCCUUCUGUUCUGCUUGAAUCUUUAGCUGACAGCAGGAGCUGACUCUGUAGAAAGAGGUCACAGACAGAGGAGCCUGAUGCGCGCCCCCUGCUGGCUGAAGGGAGCAGCUUCCAGACCCAGGCCGUCCCAUUGGCGCCCCGUUACUGCUGCAUCACCAAGUUAACACAAGGAUAAGUAGCAGAGCCCGCCCCCAAGCGGGGGCGGAACUGACUGUAACAGGAGGAACCAAACAAGGACUUGAAGCUAACUGGGAUGUUCUGACAUUCUGAAC